CUGAAUUGCAACUCUAGGCCUGGAGCACUUUCCAAGGAGCCAAGUUCACACCUAAGGUCUGAAGCUUAAAGAGAAGAAGAAUCUAGAGGAAAUGAGGCUUUCAGACACUAAGUAGCUUACUGAAGGUCCCAUGUCUGCUGAAAGGAUAAUGAAGAAAUAAAGUGAGGGACAGCCGUUGAAAUACACUUACAACAAGCUAUUCUACAGGUUAUUAAUGGAACGCUAUACAGACUUUCAGGACACAAGAAGCGAGACUGUCUGAACAUGACCCCAAGAGCUCAUUCUUGGUUACCUGAGCCAGUGUGCGUGCACAAGAAGCCAGGAAUCCCCCUUCUGUCACGGGAGAAGCCACACCUGAACUCAGCUUCCUGAGACGGUUGGCAUUGUUUUACCCUCUUGCAGGAGCCAUGACUCUCGGUGGUCCCUGCUGUCCUCUGGUGCUGGCCCACUAGCUUUCACAGGGGCUUCCCUUAAAGGAGCAGCACGCAAACAGGCUGCCUAACAUUCAAGUCAGCCGCUUGUGUCGUCUAACCAGCUUGUCCUGUGGGAAAGGGGAGCCGACCUGGGCCGGCCCAGGCUCCUGCGCUCUUCUCUAUGGGAAAAAGGGCGAGCCAAAAGACUGCGAUUGUCCUGGCUGCUCACCCCCUGAGUUUCCUCAAUAAAGCUUUUUUUUAAACCCUUACAAUAUGAUACUGUCAAAUUCACCCUGAGCUCUGAUGAGCCUCGGAUGGCCACCACCGAGGGACCCGUGGUACACGACGCAUUGACUGAUGACGAAGCUUCGUUCUGCCUACCCAGCUUCGUGACAUUCAUGUCUUAGUUUGCAUACUUGUAACACAGACUGAAGUCACCGGCCAUACUCGUAUUUUGC
This is a long non-coding RNA of Artibeus jamaicensis (Jamaican fruit-eating bat), 871 nucleotides long. RefSeq lists it as uncharacterized. The transcript has 3 exons. Lineage: Eukaryota; Metazoa; Chordata; Mammalia; Chiroptera; Phyllostomidae. The record is from RefSeq and is a predicted model, not a curated record.